CCGGCCUCCAGCCAGAGCCCUGCUGAGAUGCCGCUGGAGAAGCGGAUCAGAAGGCACGGCCAGGACUCGUUCACACCACCCGCAAGUUCUUCCUUUGCCAUCUCGAAGUUAUAUUCCAGAUCCGCGCCCUUCUCCGUCUCCAGCACUGCCAGUCUGGACCCAGCCGAGCUCCCCGCUGCCCCAUCCACCACAGCCUCUAGCUAUAGUCUCCCUGUUUCCUAUUGUCCCGGCUCUGAUGUACUCUCCGUGUGACCCUGGAUCCGGAAGCUGAGGCCGGAGAGAUGAAGUCACGCAGCCAGUGAGGGGCCCAGAGGAGAUCUGACUUCAUCUCUUCAUAAUUUCCACAUCAGCUCUGUGCUGGAGCGAAAGAACACACCCACGUGGGAAUGACUUCACGCUCCAGAAAGAACGCUACAAAUUGGUUGAGAGGCGUAGAAGAGGAAUUUUCCUCCUAAAGGCUGCAGGAAUCCACUGGCGGGAUAGAAACGUGAUUAGAAGACGAGCUUGGGAAGGGGGCCUUCAAAUCGUGCCUGCAGCAUCUGAGGGUCUCGUCAGGGAAUAAGGAACUGCCUGUCUGAUGUUUCCAAGCAGCACAAACUUCUUCCCCACAGCUGUGAAACUUAUGCAACAGAAACGAAACGGUGACAUGGCUGUCAUGGCAACCAUCUUGUGACUCUGAGGCCCCAAACCUUAGAAGAGCCACUCUGAUGAGGACAGAAGGGUCAAGGCGCCUUGGUCCUUGAGGAUGUCACCAAGUCCUGAACCAGCCAGAGGAGCCAACGUCCCCUGGACCUCUUGUGAAAUAAACCACGUCCUUAUGUUUGAACCAUCAGCAGCCCAUUCUUCUCCUCCUUGCAGCCAAAUGCCUCUGAAUGCAUUCAGCUGUCAAUCCAUGAAUUGAAUAAAUAAAUGCCAGCCCUGCCUGGGCACUUCCCAUAUGCCAACUUGGGCAUCUCUGCGACAGCCUUGUGACGUGGGUCCUGGUGCUCUCCCAGCCCACAGAUGAGGAAAGCCAGGCACCGAGAGCCUAAGGAAUUUAUGAAAAGUCGUAUCAUCUCUCAUUGGGGAAGGGAUGGCGGGGGAGAAAGACCCCAGGAAUGUGAGGGAGGGACAGAAUGUGGAAGAGAUGGGCGUGGGCUGGGGGUGGGCUCCGUCCACAACACGGAGAUGCUGGACAGUCUUUCCGGUAGGGGGGGCUGAUUCCAGGGUGACGCCUGGGAGCCCUGUGUGUGUGAAACGAGUCUCUGAUGUCGCAGCGAACCUUUCUUGGCACAGCUGGGAAGGGGCUAGC
Molecule: long non-coding RNA, 1291 nt
Filed under: Equus asinus (donkey)
Lineage: Eukaryota; Metazoa; Chordata; Mammalia; Perissodactyla; Equidae
Description: lncRNA (ENSEASG00005025562.1)
Source: RNAcentral